UCUGGUCUGGUUCCUGCGGUCAACUUGUCCCAGGCCAGUCAGGGUCUACAUGCACUACACAGAAUGAAGACAUUGGAUAAACAGUCGCAAGUUGCUCUCUUCACCCGAGGUGAGGGCCCAAACUGGAGGAGGUCGGUCACCUGUCUUCAGCCGCUUUCUGCCGGACUCGGGUCCAGCCAUUU
Sarcophilus harrisii (Tasmanian devil) is the source of this 182-nucleotide long non-coding RNA. RefSeq lists it as uncharacterized. The transcript has 2 exons. Lineage: Eukaryota; Metazoa; Chordata; Mammalia; Dasyuromorphia; Dasyuridae. The record is from RefSeq and is a predicted model, not a curated record.